Molecule: ribosomal RNA, 402 nt
Filed under: uncultured Eubacteriales bacterium
Lineage: Bacteria; Bacillati; Bacillota; Clostridia; Eubacteriales
Description: uncultured Clostridiales bacterium partial 16S ribosomal RNA
Rfam family: Bacterial small subunit ribosomal RNA
Source: RNAcentral
UGGGGAAUAUUGCGCAAUGGGGGAAACCCUGACGCAGCAACGCCGCGUGAAUGAAGAAGGCCUUAGGGUUGUAAAGUUCUGUUUACGGGGACGAUAAUGACGGUACCCGUGGAGGAAGCCACGGCUAACUACGUGCCAGCAGCCGCGGUAAUACGUAGGUGGCAAGCGUUGUCCGGAUUUACUGGGCGUAAAGGAUGCGUAGGCGGAUGUUUAAGUGAGAUGUGAAAUACCCGAGCUCAACUUGGGUGCUGCAUUUCAAACUGGAUAUCUAGAGUGCGGGAGAGGAAAGCGGAAUUCCUAGUGUAGCGGUGAAAUGCGUAGAGAUUAGGAAGAACACCAGUGGCGAAGGCGGCUUUCUGGACCGUAACUGACGCUGAGGCAUGAAAGCGUGGGGAGCAAACA